Molecule: non-coding RNA, 800 nt
Organism: Saimiri boliviensis boliviensis (Bolivian squirrel monkey)
Lineage: Eukaryota; Metazoa; Chordata; Mammalia; Primates; Cebidae
Source: RefSeq, a predicted model, not a curated record
CAGGCCCCGGAUUCCCAGGUGUUUCUAUUCAGUGAUCAGCACUGAACACAGAGGACUCACCAUGGAGUUUGGGCUGAGCUGGGUUUUCCUUGUUGCUAUUUUAAAAGGUGUCCAGUGUGAGGUGCAGCUGGUGGAGUCUGGGGGAGGCUUGGCAAAGCCUGGGGGGUCCCUGAGACUCUCCUGUGCGGCCUCUGGAUUCACCUUCAGUGACUACUACAUGAGCUGGGUCCGCCAGGCUCCGGGGAAGGGGCUGGAGUGGGUCUCAUACAUUAGAUAUGAUGGUGGUAGCACAAGCUACGCCGAGUCUGUGAAAGACCGAUUCACCAUCUCCAGAGAUGAUUCAGAGAACUCGCUGUAUCUGCAAAUGAGCAGCCUGAAACCCGAGGACACGGCCGUGUAUUACUGUACUAGAGACACAGUGAGGGGAGGCCCGUGUGGGCCCGGACACAAACCUCCUGCAGGGGCGCGCGGGGCCGCCAGGGGGCGCUCGGGACCCACCGAGGACGGGGCAGGCCCCAGGAGCAGGUGCAGGGGGAGGGUUCUCUUUCUCAGACGCAAGAAGCGGAUUUCUUUUUGCCGAUCUGAUUGGAUUGUCCCUAGUAACUCACCCAUGCUCUUGUCUCUUCAAUGGGCAGAAUCAGAAAAAUCAUGUGUACCCACAGGACCUGGAGCCUCUCUCUCCUUGGGUCUACGUCAUCCAGAAUACCCUGCAUGAUGGGCUGACACAAAGAAAUCCAACCCCACAGAGGCUCCAUAACAACCCUUACAGUUCUUUCAGGGAAGAAAUAAUCUCCAAGUGA